Non-coding RNA from Misgurnus anguillicaudatus (oriental weatherfish), 1285 nucleotides. NCBI's taxonomy places the organism in Eukaryota, Metazoa, Chordata, Actinopteri, Cypriniformes, Cobitidae. The record is from RefSeq and is a predicted model, not a curated record.
CGCGUGCUCUAGAAGCGCGGCCCUGUGGGACGACUAUGAUAGUUCACUGCGUUUAUCUCUCACGUGGCUCAUGUUUACAUCAUAAAUCUUUAAAAUAUAUGAGCAUGUGCGUGACAUAAGAUCCACGAGCUCAAUCUCACGAAAACCUGGAGAGACAAAAAACGAGGAAACUGAAAAGUGAAAAACAGAUGAUGACAACAGAGAUGGACACAAGGGUUGUUUCUAGAGAGGCAAUGGUCAGGAAUGAUUAUUAUCGUCAUAAGCACUAGAUCAUGCAUGAUCUUUCACAAGAAUAGACUGAGACUUUCAAUAGCGUAAGUCAAAACCCUCGACACGGCACAUCAGCGUCUAACUGCUGAGGUCGAUCAUCAGAUGCUCAUAAAUCUGUGUCUUCCCUUUAAAACUGGAGGCCAGCAGGAACUCUCUGUCAUCAAUGGACACCAGCGAAAAAGCUCUCGGCGCCUGAACGUUGAGCUCUUGAAAGUGCACAAACUGGCUCUUCUUGGCAUCCCACCGAUAGACCUGGGUCAGCGAGUAGUCACUGCCUAGGAUGGCGUACUGCCAGUUGCCGAUGGAAAGGGGCUGAAAUACCAUUGAGCCCCGUGAGGGCAUUGUCUGCACCUCCUUGAACAUAGAGCCAUCCCACGUCAUCACCUUGGAGUCACCAAUGAAGCGCGUCAGACAGAUAAACAGCUCCCCCUUCACCUUAAAGUGUUUGACAGCGUAGACGUCCUCCAUUUCUGGAACGUCCGUCCGUCUAUCGAACUGCUUUUGGCUUUUGUUCCACUGGUAGAUAACGGGCCGCUGAGAGCUGCUGGACAAGAUGAGGUGGGGCUUGCCGGCGAUCUCCAGGUACUCCACGUCUGUGUCUCGGUACCAGGGAUGGAGAGACUGGUGAGAGUAGAACCCAUUGCCGUUCCAUUUGUAGAUUGUGGUGGAGCCGGCCUUGGAGCUGUCUGCGAUUACAAAGAAGAACUCGCCGUCUAGACGGAACGUCUCGAUAUCGUUUGGCUUUCUGAUCUUUAGGAUGUCAAUGUCCUGGAUUUUGAUGAAUUUUUCGGCAGAACUGUCCCUUUUGUAGAUGUGUGAGCCACCAAAAAGUUGGGCAACGAUGAUGAAAAGUUGGUUUUCAAUAACCAUUGGCUUGCAAACCACAGUGGACGUGCCUGUGAAUAAACAAAUCACAGCUGUUAAAUUAAACUGUAGAUAUAGAUUUCAGUAGCUCUGGACUCAAUGUUAUGUGUCAAGUGUUGUUCCUUAUUAUUUUAUUAAAGGUGAAAUGAAA